UACAGAGGUCCCAAGCGUUGUUCGGAAUUACUGGGCGUAAAGGGCGCGCAGGCGGCCGCUCAAGUCAGAUGUGAAAGCCCCGGGCUCAACCUGGGAACUGCAUUUGAUACUGAGUGGCUAGAGUUCGGGAGAGGAGAGUGGAAUUCCCAGUGUAGAGGUGAAAUUCGUAGAUAUUGGGAAGAACACCGGUGGCGAAGGCGGCUCUCUGGACCGAUACUGACGCUGAGGCGCGAAAGCGUGGGGAGCAAACAGG
Molecule: ribosomal RNA, 253 nt
Filed under: uncultured bacterium
Lineage: Bacteria
Description: partial 16S ribosomal RNA
Rfam family: Bacterial small subunit ribosomal RNA
Source: RNAcentral